UACGUAGGGUGCAAGCGUUGUCCGGAAUUAUUGGGCGUAAAGAGCUCGUAGGCGGUCUGUCGCGUCGGCUGUGAAAUUCCCGGGGCUCAACCCCGGGCCUGCAGUCGAUACGGGCAGACUAGAGUGCGGUAGGGGAGACUGGAAUUCCUGGUGUAGCGGUGAAAUGCGCAGAUAUCAGGAGGAACACCGGUGGCGAAGGCGGGUCUCUGGGCCGUAACUGACGCUGGAGGAAGCGAAAGGCGUGGGGAGCAAAC
Molecule: ribosomal RNA, 254 nt
Filed under: uncultured bacterium
Lineage: Bacteria
Description: partial 16S ribosomal RNA
Rfam family: Bacterial small subunit ribosomal RNA
Source: RNAcentral